Lotus japonicus is the source of this 572-nucleotide long non-coding RNA. RefSeq lists it as uncharacterized. The transcript is spliced from 2 exons. Lineage: Eukaryota; Viridiplantae; Streptophyta; Magnoliopsida; Fabales; Fabaceae. The record is from RefSeq and is a predicted model, not a curated record.
GUGGGUUUGAUUUGGAAAUCUAGAUUCUGGUCAUGCUCUGCUCUUCCUUCUUCCUCUCCUGCAAGUUCUGAGGUUUCUGUUGGGGGUGGGGGUACGGGUGAAGGUGAGGUUGCAGGUGGGUGGGUGUUGGGGUUGAGGAGUGCGGGUUGCAACGGGUUGGUGUUUGAGGGAGGGUGAGGUUGAAGGUGGUGGGUGUUGGGGUUGCAGGUGGAAGGUAGACGAUGAUGAUGAUACUGCUUAGGCAGCUACUGAUUCCCUGUUUCUGCCCUGUUUGUGAACUGUUCUUGUUGUUUGGCCUGAUGAUGAAAAUUAAUGGAAGAUUAUGGCUUUUUGUUAGGAGGAGAAGAGUUGUGCUGGAAAGAGAGAGGAAGCAUGAAGAUUUUUUAUUUGAUUCAGAUGAGAGAUGAACAUGAGUUUGGUUUUGAUGAAGAUGAUUUAGGGUUAAUUUGGGGGAAGUUGAUUUUGUUAAUUAAUUUUUGGGUUAGAUUUGUUAAUUAGUUUUAUUUUUUUAAUUAAAUUAAAAUUUCUGAUGUGUAUUUUAUUUUAUUACAUUAUUAUUAUUUUUAAUUCCA